Molecule: ribosomal RNA, 433 nt
Filed under: uncultured bacterium
Lineage: Bacteria
Description: partial 16S ribosomal RNA
Rfam family: Bacterial small subunit ribosomal RNA
Source: RNAcentral
AACGAACGCUGGCGGCAUGCCUAACACAUGCAAGUCGAACGAGACCUUCGGGUCUAGUGGCGCACGGGUGCGUAACGCGUGGGAACUUGCCCUUAGGUUAGGAAUAACUCCCCGAAAGGGGUGCUAAUACCGGAUAAUGUCUUCGGACCAAAGAUUUAUCGCCUUUGGAUGGGCCCGCGUUGGAUUGGCUAGUUGGUAGGGUAAAAGCCUACCAAGGCGACGAUCCAUAGCUGGUCUGAGAGGAUGAUCAGCCACACUGGGACUGAGACACGGCCCAGACUCCUACGGGAGGCAGCAGUAGAGAGUAUUGGGCAAUGGGCGAAGGCCUAAUCCAGCAAUGCCGCGUGAGUGAUGAAGGCCUUAGGGUUGUAAAUCUCUUUUACCCGGGAUGAUAAUGACAGUACCGGGAGAAUAAGCUCCGGCUAACUCCGUG